UGUGAUACCCAGUAAGGAUAAGGACUCACUUGAAGUCUAGAAAGAACAAAUGCUAAGCUUCAGUAUCCUCAUCUAUAUAGUAAGAAUAAUAAUGCCUAUUAAAGAUAGGUGUGGAUUAAAGAUGUCUCCAAUGAGACUCAGCAAUGCUUAGCAUAUUUCAAAGAUUGAAAAAAAUUUAUUGUCUUCCUCAAUCCAUUGCACAGUAGAUAUCAACCUGGAGGUUAAAAAAGGCAAAACUGAUUUAAGACGGGAUUGUGUUGUUUAGUGUUAGGUUAUUUUUCUGGGUACUUCAAUCUAUUCUUAGACUUUAAAUACACCACUUUCUAUAAUAUACUUUAAAUAAAAUGAAUCUGCUUUUGUUUUGAUGAA
Molecule: long non-coding RNA, 369 nt
Organism: Sorex fumeus (smoky shrew)
Lineage: Eukaryota; Metazoa; Chordata; Mammalia; Eulipotyphla; Soricidae
Exons: 2
Source: RefSeq, a predicted model, not a curated record